Long non-coding RNA from Siniperca chuatsi (mandarin fish), 3559 nucleotides. RefSeq lists it as uncharacterized. The record is from RefSeq and is a predicted model, not a curated record. Lineage: Eukaryota; Metazoa; Chordata; Actinopteri; Centrarchiformes; Sinipercidae. The transcript has 2 exons.
GUGACGACCAGCCAGUGCCACUGAACAAUAGAGUUUAAAAGUAAUUGAAGCACAGAUAUGUUUUGUGGUCUUAUGUGGUCUUACUGAUUGAAUACAACUAAUUACUGGUCAUCUGGAAAUUACAGAUGCAGUCAUACAACUUUAAAUUUUUGGUUUCUGUACACACAAGCAUGUGGAGGAAAACCUUGGAAAUUAGUUUCAUCAUUUUACAUAUUAGCCUAACACAAACAAUACAAAUGAACAGAUUGUGGAUUUUUUAAAAUUAAUUAUUCGUUGAUCGACAAACAUGUUGUGUCAGUUCGAAUUUGGUGUAUCAAAUUGGGGCCGCUUGACAGCAAUUUCCCAGGCUGCUUUUUGUUGCCGGUGAAGUGGUCUGAGUCCAGCCAAGAGAAUGCUUUUGUAAUUGUACUAAGAUAAAUGUAUGUGUGUGUGAGGAAAAGAGAGCCGAACAGGAAGAAAAAGAAAUUGGAGAGAGGGCAGCCCUGCCAGUUUAUCAUAACUGAUCCACCCACUCCUGCACAGGCUGUAUUUACAUUCCGACCGUCUUUGUACAACACCAACGACGGUCAUGAAUGCGUCGCGAAUGACGAGCUCUGCCGACACGAGCCAUAAAUCAACUGCGCAUCGCGUCCUCUUAUCUCCUGCUCUUUCGUGUCGACCUCUCUCGCAUGUCAGAGCGAAAGCACAUGGCUCUGAUUAGGGCUGCUCCUCUAUCCAAAGGCCGGCGAGGGCUGCUGGGACAGAAUGGCCAGGGCAAGACGCUGAGAAAAUGCUGAAAUGGAAGGAUAUGGAAAUCUAGCAGAGCACAGCAGAACUAAUGGGUUGGCAGCUCUCCCCCUGAAAUGAGAAGGGACUAAUGGAUCCGCGGCCCUGGCUAAGAUGGCUGAGGCAGAUUGCAUGUGGAUUUAAGUGAUUAAGAACAUGGUGGCCCCCGGUCCUGCUUUUGUCAGAGAAAAUGUAAUAUAUGACAAUGAAUGCUAAAAUAUGAAAUUCCUCAUUUAAAGCUGUUGCAGAGAAUUCAGAGUACAAUUCACAUCCGAGAUUAGGAAAAUAUAUGCUAUUUGAAUGCAUAUCGUGUUGGAAAUGAUAGGGAUGCAGAGGGCGUGGUGGGCGGGACAGCGGGAGUCUGCAAAUGAAUGACUCAAAUAAUAGUUAUGAUAAAGGUUUAUAAAGAUUUACAUGAUUUAUUUCAGCAAUUUAAAGGAGACAAAAGUGAGAUUUUUACUGUGGCUUUGGCAAAAACAAUGGAUUAUUGAUUAAUAGUGCUAAUUAAGUCAAGCUUGUAGCAACUUUCUAUCCAUAAGUGCGAUAAUAAUACUGCAUAAAAUGUGACAAGUUGUAAGAAAGGGGAGACUUUUAUCACAUUAGUGGCCCUUAAUAUUGUUAAUAUUAUUAUUGGCUCAUCAUUUAACAUUCUGUUAUGCCUCACAUGGAGAUAUGAUACCAUAUAAUGUAAUAUUGUGAUGUUAUGUUAUCUGAGAAUUGAUUGCCUCACCAAACUCUAUUGCAUUUUUAAGCCAUGUAAAGACACCAUUUCUUACAUUUCACCAAGUUAUUACAUCAUCUAUCAACAAAAAGACCAGAGGGCUAUGUGUGUGUGUGUGUGUGUGUGUGUGUGUGUGUGUGUUAGUCUGACACAUCAGAGAAACUAAAUUCAAAUGUACAAAUUACAAAAUUAUAAGUUACAAAUUUGACAUGGCGCCAUUAGUCAGAGAGUCAGAGUACAAAUUUCUUUAGUCGUGUUACAAAAAUAAUUUAUUCCAGAUUUAUACCAACAGGUUCUCAAAUCUAAACGACAUGUCAGUGCAUUUCAAAAUCCACUCAUGGUUAAGUCUAGGCAACUAAAACUACCCGGUUAAGGUUAGGGAAAGUUCACUUGCAUGAUUUGAGACCAGAUGUAAAUCCAGAUCCAUCCACCCUGACCUCCUCCUACUGACUUGUUGCUGCACAUCGUACUACUUCGGGUCUAAACAAAGGUCAUUGUUGCCCGACCACGUCAGAAAUGAAAAGUAGUAUAUAGGGGGUUUCCGAAGCAGUUCAACAUUUAAAAAAAAACCUCAGAGAAAUCAGGUUACACAGGAAACCAGACAUAUACACUGUAGUAACCUGGUUACUGUAAAUCCAUGUAGGCAUGUAAGUCAGUAAUCAGAAUUCUCCCUACCCCAGAAAUGAUUUUGUUAGCAUUACUUACUUAUUCUAAGUAUAGUAGUGAUGAAAAACACUGCUCCCUGAUUGUGUGUGUGUGUGUGUGUUUGGGAGCCUGAUGACCGAGAGAGAGGACAGGCCCUGUAGUGAGAGCGCACAGCUUUUCCUUACAGUACCAAUGUCUGAAUAUACAAAUACAAAUAUACAAAUUUUCAACCUAUUUUGACUUCUGGAGGUUACUUUGUGUUAGUUCUGCGUGCACAUCACUCCCUUCAUCUUGCCGCUCAGCUGUCACAUAUAUUUUCCUUGUCUGAAGUCUUUGUCAUGCACCCUGUGUUUUCUUGUUUUCAUCUUGAAACGGGGAAUAGUGAUAGUGUAAGAGGAGACAAUAAUGCUCAUGUUCCCCUAAUUGACUCUUUGAGUCACAUCGGUCGUCAAAGCAGUUUCAUUAUUAACCUAAUACCUAUAAGAUAAUUACUGCACUACUUGGAGAGAGAGUAUAGUGACCAACCCUGGAUGUCUUUCCAAAACUCCAGUACUGGUCAUUCUGACCUUCAUGGUGGUGGGGGGAGGGGAAUAUGUCCAUACUGCGUUUGUAACCCACCAAUUCAUCAUUCAGAUGUCACACACACACAAAGGCAACAUACAAGUUGUAAAACCCUUCUCCCCCCUUUGAUAAUGUGUGAUGUGUAACUUUUUUAACAUCGAAGCUGAGGUUAGCUCUAUAUCAUUACAAUGCUUGGCCUUCUGUAGCCUAUACCUCGGGAUAUUUCUGGUCUAAUAAUGCCUAUGUAAUUAUUACGCAGGCCAGAGGCCGUCUGUCAACACUGGUGAACCGGAUACUAAAGGUUAACAUCUGUCAUAAACACUCAAUCUCCUCAGAAAUUCAAAUGUCUGACAGUAUUCCAUUUUUUCGCUCUGCGUGGCCCGUGAGGUGCGUGCAGCGGUCACUUUCAGCGCAUGCGCACUGUGAAGAGUCAGAAAUCCGCAAAUCUGAAAAAAAAUCUCAAAAGCAGAAAUUAGACUUGUUUUUUGGUUUUCUAUUUAAUUUGAUUACCCACUUCAAUAUGAAACAAAAAACUAAAUUCUGACCCGUUUUUCACUUGCCAGAUUUAAUGGAAUAAUUGAAUGAUCGGAUGGCACAGAACAUGUAAAGAGCUGAUUAGACACCCAGUUAUGUGUAUACAUGGCCAAGAAAUGGACUUUCUAUAGGAGAAAUAAAGCUGGUGAAAUCAGGUUUCUCUAAUCCUGUACACCGACUAUGGAAACCAGGUUUUCCUUUUACAUGAUGUUAAAGAAAUCAUCUUAUUGCAGAAAGCUGACUGUAAUCUGGUUACUUAAGUGCAUGUAAACUCACUGCAUCAUAACUAUGAUGUGUAAAAAAUAAAGUGCAUUAAAUAGUUAAUUAAGUUGA